GGCUCAGGACGAACGCUGGCGGCGUGCCUAACACAUGCAAGUCGAACGGGGUUAAGUCUUCGGAUUUAACUUAGUGGCGAACGGGUGAGUAACGCGUGAGAAACCUGCCUUUCAGUGGGGGACAACAGUUGGAAACGACUGCUAAUACCGCAUAACACUUUAGUACCGCAUGGUACAGAAGUCAAAGCUUUAUGCGCUCAGGGAGGGGCUCGCGUCCUAUUAGUUAGUUGGCGGGGUAACGGCCCACCAAGGCGAUGACGGGUAGCCGGUCUGAGAGGAUGUCCGGCCACACUGGAACUGAGACACGGUCCAGACACCUACGGGUGGCAGCAGUCGAGAAUCAUUCACAAUGGGCGAAAGCCUGAUGGUGCGACGCCGCGUGGGGGAGGAAGGUCUUCGGAUUGUAAACCCCUGUCAUGUGGGAGCAAGACUUCGGUUUGAUAGUACCACAAGAGGAAGAGACGGCAAACUCUGUG
RNAcentral lists this ribosomal RNA (476 nucleotides) under uncultured bacterium. RNAcentral describes it as "bacterial SSU rRNA". It matches the Rfam family "Bacterial small subunit ribosomal RNA", at positions 21 to 507 of the family's 1533-position model. The record is from RNAcentral.